GGGAGCGCAGGAUCCUGGGCUGUGCCCCGCCGCGCCCUGGGCUCUGGGGCCUGCGCCGCUGGAAUCGCGCUCCUGGGUGGGCUCCC
RNAcentral lists this microRNA precursor (86 nucleotides) under Canis lupus familiaris (dog). Its description in RNAcentral is "mir-8799 microRNA precursor family". It matches the Rfam family "mir-8799 microRNA precursor family". Lineage: Eukaryota; Metazoa; Chordata; Mammalia; Carnivora; Canidae. The record is from Rfam by way of RNAcentral.